This 433-nucleotide ribosomal RNA is filed under the name uncultured bacterium. RNAcentral describes it as "partial 16S ribosomal RNA". It matches the Rfam family "Bacterial small subunit ribosomal RNA", at positions 29 to 507 of the family's 1533-position model. The record is from RNAcentral.
AACGAACGCUGGCGGCAUGCCUAACACAUGCAAGUCGAACGAGACCGUCGGGCCUAGUGGGGCACGGGUGCUGAACGCGUGAGAACUUGCCCGUGGGUUCGGAAUAACUCCCUGAAAGGGGUGCUAAUACCGGUUAAUGUCUUCGGACCAAAGAUUUAUCGCCUUUGGCUGGGCCCGGGUUGGAUUCGCUAGUUGGUAGUGUAAAAGCCUACCAUUGCGACGUUCCAUAGCUGGUGGGAGAGGAUGCUCCGCCACGCUGGGACUGCGACACGGCCCACAAUCGUACGGAAGAGAGCAGUGUGGAAUAUUAGGCACUGAGCGAAAGCGUGAUCAAGCAAUGCCGCGUGAGUGAUGAAGGCCUUAGGAUUGUAAAGCUCUCUUACCCGGGAUGUUAAUGACAGUACCGGGAGAAUAAGCUCCGGCUAACUACGUG